CAAAAAUAAAACCCAUUUAAGUCUCAUCUUAUAAACAGAUACAUUUAUUAAGAAAAGAGGAUCUGAGACAAAAAAAUAAAUGCAAAUUUUUUUUUUCUUGUUUUCUUGAACUAACACACAGAAAUUGUGAAUGAUGAGAAAACACAGAGGAAGAGAGAGAGAGGAAUUUCAACCUGUAUGUGAACAACAAUGGCAACGGACGGUGGUGAAUGAGAGUGUUAAUAUCUUGAAAGGGAUCGAAGGUGUUCAACGAGUCCAAUCGAAGUUCGACGAGGGACGCAGAUUAAGGUUGCAUUCUUCCUACCUACUGAUGGAGCCGUGAUCUGAAGAAUGCAAUGCAAAAGCAAACAAAAAUUAGGGUUGGAAUUGAAGCAGGGGAAGAGAAACGAGGAAAAUAAGAGAGUGAGUUACGAGAACGUUGGGACAAUCCAUCUGAAAAAUUGAGGUGAGAAUGGAAUUUUGGAAGAAUUAUUUUGUUUUGUUAUUGUUAGGAUAGACUUCACAGCCCAUGCGUUACUGUACUUAGCCAAUCAAACUGAUCUGUUUAUCCUUUUCUUUAUUUUUUUUCACCAAAAAACAACCAUUAAUGAGUGAAAAAGACUAACAUAUCCAAAAGAUAUUUGUGGACUCAUGAAUAAGUUGGAUGAAAAUAUUGAUUUUAUUUUACAGUAAUGGGAUGAUCUGAAAAG
Molecule: small RNA, 689 nt
Filed under: Vigna angularis var. angularis
Lineage: Eukaryota; Viridiplantae; Streptophyta; Magnoliopsida; Fabales; Fabaceae
Description: Non-protein coding transcript
Source: RNAcentral